This 22-nucleotide transfer RNA is filed under the name Isabellaria almae. RNAcentral's name for it is "partial tRNA-Met". Lineage: Eukaryota; Metazoa; Mollusca; Gastropoda; Stylommatophora; Clausiliidae. The record is from RNAcentral.
AAUGGACUGGCGCCUCCUUAGA